CCUACUGGAGGCAGCAGUGGGGAAUAUUGCACAAUGGGGGAAACCCUGAUGCAGCGACGCCGCGUGAGUGAAGAAGUAAUUCGUUAUGUAAAGCUCUAUCAGCAGGGAAGAAAAUGACGGUACCUGAGUAAGAAGCCCCGGCGAACUACGUGCCAGCAGCCGCGGUAAUACGUAGGGGGCAACCGUUAUCCGGAUUUACUGGGUGUAAAGGGAGCGUAGACGGCAGUGCAAGUCUGGAGUGAAAGGCGUGGGGGCAACCGCAGGAUUGCUCUGGAAACUGUACGGCUGGAGUGCAGGAGAGGUAAGUGGAAUUCGUGGUGUAGCGGUGAAAUGCGUAGAUAUUAGGAGGAAAACCAGUGGCGAAGGCAGCUUACUGGACUGUAACUGACGUUGAGGCUCGAAAGCGUGGGGAACAAACAGGAUUAGAUACCCUUGUAGUC
RNAcentral lists this ribosomal RNA (440 nucleotides) under uncultured bacterium. RNAcentral describes it as "partial 16S ribosomal RNA". It matches the Rfam family "Bacterial small subunit ribosomal RNA", at positions 338 to 795 of the family's 1533-position model. The record is from RNAcentral.